GUGCUCACUUGGGCAGCACAUAUACUAAAGUUGGAACUAUACAGAGAAGGUCAGCAUGGCCCCUGCACAAGGCUGACAUGCAAAUUCAUGAAGAGUUCCAUAUUAAA
This 107-nucleotide small nuclear RNA is filed under the name Catagonus wagneri (Chacoan peccary). Lineage: Eukaryota; Metazoa; Chordata; Mammalia; Artiodactyla; Tayassuidae. The record is from RNAcentral.